ACAUGCAAGUCGAGCGGUAGCACAGAGAGCUUGCUCUCGGGUGACGAGCGGCGGACGGGUGAGUAAUGUCUGGGAAACUGCCUGAUGGAGGGGGAUAACUACUGGAAACGGUAGCUAAUACCGCAUAACGUCGCAAGACCAAAGUGGGGGACCUUCGGGCCUCAUGCCAUCAGAUGUGCCCAGAUGGGAUUAGCUGGUAGGUGGGGUAACGGCUCACCUAGGCGACGAUCCCUAGCUGGUCUGAGAGGAUGACCAGCCACACUGGAACUGAGACACGGUCCAGACUCCUACGGGAGGCAGCAGUGGGGAAUAUUGCACAAUGGGCGCAAGCCUGAUGCAGCCAUGCCGCGUGUGUGAAGAAGGCCUUCGGGUUGUAAAGCACUUUCAGCGGGGAGGAAGGCGGUGAGGUUAAUAACCUUGUCGAUUGACGUUACCCGCAGAAGAAGCACCGGCUAACUCCGUGCCAGCAGCCGCGGUAAUACGGAGGGUGCAAGCGUUAAUCGGAAUUACUGGGCGUAAAGCGCACGCAGGCGGUCUGUCAAGUCGGAUGUGAAAUCCCCGGGCUCAACCUGGGAACUGCAUUCGAAACUGGCAGGCUAGAGUCUUGUAGAGGGGGGUAGAAUUCCAGGUGUAGCGGUGAAAUGCGUAGAGAUCUGGAGGAAUACCGGUGGCGAAGGCGGCCCCCUGGACAAAGACUGACGCUCAGGUGCGAAAGCGUGGGGAGCAAACAGGAUUAGAUACCCUGGUAGUCCACGCUGUAAACGAUGUCGAUUUGGAGGUUGUGCCCUUGAGGCGUGGCUUCCGGAGCUAACGCGUUAAAUCGACCGCCUGGGGAGUACGGCCGCAAGGUUAAAACUCAAAUGAAUUGACGGGGGCCCGCACAAGCGGUGGAGCAUGUGGUUUAAUUCGAUGCAACGCGAAGAACCUUACCUGGUCUUGACAUCCACAGAACUUUCCAGAGAUGGAUUGGUGCCUUCGGGAACUGUGAGACAGGUGCUGCAUGGCUGUCGUCAGCUCGUGUUGUGAAAUGUUGGGUUAAGUCCCGCAACGAGCGCAACCCUUAUCCUUUGUUGCCAGCGGUUAGGCCGGGAACUCAAAGGAGACUGCCAGUGAUAAACUGGAGGAAGGUGGGGAUGACGUCAAGUCAUCAUGGCCCUUACGACCAGGGCUACACACGUGCUACAAUGGCAUAUACAAAGAGAAGCGACCUCGCGAGAGCAAGCGGACCUCAUAAAGUAUGUCGUAGUCCGGAUUGGAGUCUGCAACUCGACUCCAUGAAGUCGGAAUCGCUAGUAAUCGUAGAUCAGAAUGCUACGGUGAAUACGUUCCCGGGCCUUGUACACACCGCCCGUCACACCAUGGGAGUGGGUUGCAAAAGAAGUAGGUAGCUUAACCUUCGGGAGGGCGCUUA
Molecule: ribosomal RNA, 1411 nt
Filed under: Klebsiella sp. PrMC1
Lineage: Bacteria; Pseudomonadati; Pseudomonadota; Gammaproteobacteria; Enterobacterales; Enterobacteriaceae
Description: bacterial SSU rRNA
Rfam family: Bacterial small subunit ribosomal RNA
Source: RNAcentral